GAACGCUGGCGGCGUGCCUAAUACAUGCAAGUAGAACGCUGAAGAGAGGAGCUUGCUCUCCUUGGAUGAGUUGCGAACGGGUGAGUAACGCGUAGGUAACCUGCCUUGUAGCGGGGGAUAACUAUUGGAAACGAUAGCUAAUACCGCAUAACAAUGGAUGACACAUGUCAUUUAUUUGAAAGGGGCAAUUGCUCCACUACAAGAUGGACCUGCGUUGUAUUAGCUAGUAGGUGAGGUAACGGCUCACCUAGGCGACGAUACAUAGCCGACCUGAGAGGGUGAUCGGCCACACUGGGACUGAGACACGGCCCAGACUCCUACGGGAGGCAGCAGUAGGGAAUCUUCGGCAAUGGGGGCAACCCUGACCGAGCAACGCCGCGUGAGUGAAGAAGGUUUUCGGAUCGUAAAGCUCUGUUGUAAGUCAAGAACGAGUGUGAGAGUGGAAAGUUCACACUGUGACGGUAGCUUACCAGAAAGGGACGGCUAACUACGUGCCAGCAGCCGCGGUAAUACGUAGGUCCCGAGCGUUGUCCGGAUUUAUUGGGCGUAAAGCGAGCGCAGGCGGUUUGAUAAGUCUGAAGUUAAAGGCUGUGGCUCAACCAUAGUUCGCUUUGGAAACUGUCAAACUUGAGUGCAGAAGGGGAGAGUGGAAUUCCAUGUGUAGCGGUGAAAUGCGUAGAUAUAUGGAGGAACACCGGUGGCGAAAGCGGCUCUCUGGUCUGUAACUGACGCUGAGGCUCGAAAGCGUGGGGAGCGAACAGGAUUAGAUUAACCCUGGUAGUCCACGCCGUAAACGAUGAGUGCUAGGUGUUGGAUCCUUUCCGGGAUUCAGUGCCGCAGCUAACGCACUAAGCACUCCGCCUGG
This 865-nucleotide ribosomal RNA is filed under the name uncultured Streptococcus sp. Its description in RNAcentral is "bacterial SSU rRNA". It matches the Rfam family "Bacterial small subunit ribosomal RNA", at positions 31 to 876 of the family's 1533-position model. Lineage: Bacteria; Bacillati; Bacillota; Bacilli; Lactobacillales; Streptococcaceae. The record is from RNAcentral.